Molecule: ribosomal RNA, 482 nt
Filed under: uncultured bacterium
Lineage: Bacteria
Description: partial 16S ribosomal RNA
Rfam family: Bacterial small subunit ribosomal RNA
Source: RNAcentral
AUUGAACGCUGGCGGCAUGCCUUACACAUGCAAGUCGAACGGUAACGGGCCUUCGGGUGCCGACGAGUGGCGAACGGGUGAGUAAUACAUCGGAACGUGCCCGAUCGUGGGGGAUAACGAGGCGAAAGCUUUGCUAAUACCGCAUACGAUCUACGGAUGAAAGCAGGGGACCGCAAGGCCUUGCGCGGACGGAGCGGCCGAUGGCAGAUUAGGUAGUUGGUGGGAUAAAAGCUUACCAAGCCGACGAUCUGUAGCUGGUCUGAGAGGAGGAUCAGCCACACUGGGACUGAGACACGGCCAAGACUCCUACGGGAGGCAGCAGUGGGGAAUUUUGGACAAUGGGCGCAAGCCUGAUCCAGCCAUGCCGCGUGCAGGAUGAAGGCCUUCGGGUUGUAAACUGCUUUUGUACGGAACGAAAAGCCUUCUUUUAAUACAGGAGGGUCAUGACGGUACCGUAAGAAUAAGCACCGGCUAACUACGUG